GAUCCUGGUGAUGUUGGUGUAAGUUGGGGGGAGGAGAGACAUGAUCUCACCUCGGCUAGGAGCUAUUGAGGAACCGGUGAGAAGACCGAGAAGCCACCAGACUCGGCUGACCCUCCCGCCUACGACCAGACAGCCAGCUCCCGGCCGCCCCCUGGCUCCUCAGCUCGCACUACCUGCCCCAGGUGUCGUGCCCGUCACAGCCACCAGAUUCCAGAUGCUACCAUGAUGCCAACUGGACUCAUCAGGGCAGACGACCCCACCAUGUGUCCUGGAGCCCCACUUCCCCAGAUCCCUGCCCCACUAGGGAAAGAGAGAGAUAGGCUGGGAGUAUGGAUCAAACCUGCCAAUGGCCAUGUUCAGCAGAGAAGCAAUUACAGAAGCCAGACCUUCCACCUCCUGCACCCCAUAAUGACCCUGGGUCCAUGCUCCCAGAGGGUUAAAGAAAAGGAAAGCUAUCAGGGGAAGGGAUGGGAUAUGGAGUUCCGGUGGGGGGAAUUGUGUGGAAUUGUACCCCUCUUAUCCUAUGGCCUUGUCAGUGUUUCCAUUUUAUAAAUAAAAACUUUAAUAUAUAUAUAUAAUUGGGGCCAGGUGGUGGCACACCUGGUUGAGCACACAUGUUACAAUGCUCAGGACCUGGGUUCAAGUCCCCAGUCCCCACCCGCAGGGGGAAAUCUUCACAAGUGGUGAAUCAGUGUUGCAGGUGUCUCUCUGCCUCUCUAUUUCCCCAUUUGCCUCAGUUUCACUCUGUUUUUAUCCAAUAAACUAAUAAAGAUAAUAGGAAAAAUUACUUUUUAAAUUUAAUUAAUUUAGAUUAAGAGGGAAGGGGAGCUAAAGAUGGAGAAGGAGAGGUAGAGGGAGAGGGAGACCUGUGGCACUGCUUCACUGCUAGUAGAGCUUCCCUCCUUUAGGUAGGGACUAGGGGCUUGAACCUGGGUCCCUGAGCACUGUAAUAUGUGCAGCUCAACCAGGUGUGCUACCACCCAGCCCUAAGAAGUAGAUUAUUUAUCCUGUAUCACCUCCUGGGUUGCUCAGAAGCCAUUUUUCAGUCUAAUACAGGUACAAAAAAUUUUCCAGGUUUGGGCCUUUCCUGCCUGUGAGACUCAUCAGGUUUAAGUAUCCUUCUUCAAAUAACUUCUAUAGCUUAUAUUUUUUUGUCUUCCAGUCAAAACUCUAAUAUGGAUAAAAUGUCGUGGGAAGAAAAGGGCCAGGUUGCCUAGAUUAGUAAAAAGAGGUCUCUUCCUAUGAGCAAGAUAGGCAUAUUCAUCACUUUUCUCUUAGUGACUUGGUGAAAAUAUGUAUUUUGUACAUUGUCACAGAAAAAAAUUAAAAUAUGGUUUAUAGUU
Molecule: long non-coding RNA, 1343 nt
Organism: Erinaceus europaeus (western European hedgehog)
Lineage: Eukaryota; Metazoa; Chordata; Mammalia; Eulipotyphla; Erinaceidae
Exons: 2
Source: RefSeq, a predicted model, not a curated record